GGAAGAUGGAUCAGCAGAGUCAUUUCCAGCAUCAAUUGCACCUUGGUGGGGUGGUUGCAGUAGGAGGAGACAUGAGGGCUGAUUCUCCAGGGCACUCCGCAAAGUUUGGCAGCUACACUCUAAUGAAUCUGGAGAGUAACACCAUUAUGGACAUCCAACUUGUUCAGAGCAAUGAAGUAGGUGGCAGCUAUCAUAUGGAGAAGGAAGGACUGAAAAGAUGCCUAGAUCAUCUGGAGUCGAAUGGAUUGAAGGUGG
Alosa alosa (allis shad) is the source of this 255-nucleotide long non-coding RNA. RefSeq lists it as uncharacterized. Lineage: Eukaryota; Metazoa; Chordata; Actinopteri; Clupeiformes; Clupeidae. The record is from RefSeq and is a predicted model, not a curated record. The transcript is spliced from 3 exons.